Molecule: long non-coding RNA, 142 nt
Organism: Gopherus flavomarginatus (Mexican gopher tortoise)
Lineage: Eukaryota; Metazoa; Chordata; Testudines; Testudinidae
Exons: 3
Source: RefSeq, a predicted model, not a curated record
UUGGGCCCGCGAGGAGCUGGUGGGUAGGUUGGCCUGCAGGGAUUGGGCCCGCGAGGAGCUGGUGGGUAGGUUGGCCUGCAGGGAUCGGGCCCGCGGGGAGCUGGUGGGUAGGUUGGCCUGCAGGGAUCAGGCCCGCAGGGAG